ACGUAGGUGGCGAGCGUUAUCCGGAAUUAUUGGGCGUAAAGGGCGCGCAGGCGGCCAUUUAAGUUUGACGUGAAAGCUCCUGGCUUAACUGGGAGAGGUCGUUGGAAACUGAAUGGCUUGAGGCAAUGAGAGGGGUGCGGAAUUCCCGGUGUAGUGGUGGAAUGCGUAGAUAUCGGGAGGAACACCAGUGGCGAAAGCGGCACCCUGGCAUUGGACUGACGCUGAAGUGCGAAAGCGUGGGGAGCGAACGGG
RNAcentral lists this ribosomal RNA (252 nucleotides) under uncultured bacterium. Its description in RNAcentral is "partial 16S ribosomal RNA". It matches the Rfam family "Bacterial small subunit ribosomal RNA", at positions 525 to 776 of the family's 1533-position model. The record is from RNAcentral.